This 459-nucleotide ribosomal RNA is filed under the name Tuber whetstonense. RNAcentral describes it as "eukaryotic LSU rRNA". The stretch from base 104 to 257 matches the Rfam family "5.8S ribosomal RNA". Lineage: Eukaryota; Fungi; Ascomycota; Pezizomycetes; Pezizales; Tuberaceae. The record is from RNAcentral.
CAUUAUUAUAAUGCGUGGAARUGCCCCUAAUAAGGGCAUACUCUAUAAAACUCUAAACUUACUGUCUGAGAAGGCCACGUGCCGUAAUCUUUAAACAUUUUAAAACUUUCAACAACGGAUCUCUUGGUUCUCGCAUCGAUGAAGAACGCAGCGAAAUGCGAUAAGUAAUGUGAAUUGCAGAAUUCAGUGAAUCAUCGAAUCUUUGAACGCACAUUGCGCCCUUUGGUAUUCCAUAGGGCAUGCCUGUUCGAGCGUCACUGACAACCCCAUCAUACAAGAGUGUGGUAUUGGCAGAAGUGGGUAGGGCUAGCAGUGCUGGUCCCACUCUGCUGGAAUGAAUAGGCCGGAAAUGCAGACCAUGGCAACAAACUUUCRGAGUAUUUUGAAAUGCUAAAUUAGUUUGGAGCUGGUCAGAAUCCAGGCUAUCGGACCCCCAUUCUGUGUAAAGCAGUAAUGUUG